Molecule: ribosomal RNA, 497 nt
Filed under: uncultured bacterium
Lineage: Bacteria
Description: partial 16S ribosomal RNA
Rfam family: Bacterial small subunit ribosomal RNA
Source: RNAcentral
GAUGAACGCUGGCGGCGUGCCUAAUACAUGCAAGUCGAGCGAACGGACGAGAAGCUUGCUUCUCUGAUGUUAGCGGCGGACGGGUGAGUAACACGUGGAUAACCUACCUAUAAGACUGGGAUAACUUCGGGAAACCGUAGCUAAUACCGGAUAAUAUUUUGAACCGCAUGGUUCAAAAGUGAAAGACGGUCUUGCUGUCACUUAUAGAUGGAUCCGCGCUGCAUUAGCUAGUUGGUAAGGUAACGGCUUACCAAGGCAACGAUGCAUAGCCGACCUGAGAGGGUGAUCGGCCACACUGGAACUGAGACACGGUCCAGACUCCUACGGGAGGCAGCAGUAGGGAAUCUUCCGCAAUGGGCGAAAGCCUGACGGAGCAACGCCGCGUGAGUGAUGAAGGUCUUCGGAUCGUAAAACUCUGUUAUUAGGGAAGAACAUAUGUGUAAGUAACUGUGCACAUCUUGACGGUACCUAAUCAGAAUGCCACGGCUAACUACGUG